Long non-coding RNA from Biomphalaria glabrata, 714 nucleotides. RefSeq lists it as uncharacterized. The record is from RefSeq and is a predicted model, not a curated record. The transcript has 2 exons. Lineage: Eukaryota; Metazoa; Mollusca; Gastropoda; Planorbidae.
AGUGUUGAGUGUGUGAGAGUCAUUAGAUUCAUAGUUGUUAUCAAAGCUCACCGAUAGACUUGACAGAGACCAGACAAAGGUUAGGACAAUGUCAGUUAGGUGUUUGUAUUGUAGAGAGACUGAUAUGUGGGUCGGGACAGACAUUAGUAAUGUUAGUUUAGGCGUAGGCUAGAUACUCAGCCUAUAUAGAGUAGAGUUUGGGGCAGUCGGGACACAGCGCCAUGUAGUGUUAGCAGUGGCGUGUGUCGUGUGCUAGGCGUUUUCUGGUAAACGACACAUACAGACAUUGGGAGCAAGUCGCCGAGGUUGGCUCGCGAUCUUGGCUCCAAGAGGUGUGAGUUGUUUGCCAGAGACAACAUGUAGGAACUAAUUCUUAAGGAUCAGGAGUGACAGUCUUGGCGACUGUCUGAGUCUUAGUGACAGUCUGACGGUCAGAGACGGUAGAUCUAUAUAUGGUGUAUCCUUGCCUGCUACGCAAGGGGAUAUCACUCUAGUAUUGAGCGGACUGUGACGUUGGGUUUCAUGAUCCGUGCAGAGACUAGAGAGAGAGAGAGAGAGAGAGAGAGAGAGAGAAAGACAAGAGAAAUGGAGAGUUCAUCGUGACCUACAGCCAAGUAUCAAUAUCUAUGUGAUUAUUAAAUUUUAAUUCUAGAAUCACAUGAGUAUUAUAUGUAAUUAUAGUUGUUAAUUAAAUAUUUAUUUUUCUUAUGCAAA